CCUACGGGAUGCUGCAGUAGGGAAUCUUCCACAAUGGGCGCAAGCCUGAUGGAGCAACACCGCGUGAGUGAAGAAGGGUUUCGGCUCGUAAAGCUCUGUUGUUGGAGAAGAACGUGCGUGAGAGUAACUGUUCACGCAGUGACGGUAUCCAACCAGAAAGUCACGGCUAACUACGUGCCAGCAGCCGCGGUAAUACGUAGGUGGCAAGCGUUAUCCGGAUUUAUUGGGCGUAAAGCGAGCGCAGGCGGUUGCUUAGGUCUGAUGUGAAAGCCUUCGGCUUAACCGAAGAAGUGCAUCGGAAACCGGGCAACUUGAGUGCAGAAGAGGACAGUGGAACUCCAUGUGUAGCGGUGGAAUGCGUAGAUAUAUGGAAGAACACCAGUGGCGAAGGCGGCUGUCUGGUCUGCAACUGACGCUGAGGCUCGAAAGCAUGGGUAGCGAACAGGAUUAGAUACCCGAGUAGUC
This 465-nucleotide ribosomal RNA is filed under the name uncultured bacterium. RNAcentral's name for it is "partial 16S ribosomal RNA". It matches the Rfam family "Bacterial small subunit ribosomal RNA", at positions 338 to 795 of the family's 1533-position model. The record is from RNAcentral.